AGUGAACGCUGGCGGUAGGCCUAACACAUGCAAGUCGAACGGCAGCACAGUAAGAGCUUGCUCUUACGGGUGGCGAGUGGCGGACGGGUGAGGUAUACAUCGGAAUCUACUUUUUCGUGGGGGAUAACGUAGGGAAACUUACGCUAAUACCGCAUACGAUCUACGGGUGAAAGCAGGGGAUCUUCGGACCUUGCGCGAUUGAAUGAGCCGAUGUCGGAUUAGCUAGUUGGCGGGGUAAAGGCCCACCAAGGCGACGAUCCGUAGCUGGUCUGAGAGGAUGAUCAGCCACACUGGAACUGAGACACGGUCCAGACUACUACGGGAGGCAGCAGUGGGGAAUAUUGGACAAUGGGCGCAAGCCUGAUCCAGCCAUACCGCGUGGGUGAAGAAGGCCUUCGGGUUGUAAAGCCCUUUUGUUGGGAAAGAAAAGCAGCAGGUUAAUACCCCGCUGUUCUGACGGUACCCAAAGAAUAAGCACCGGCUAACUUCGUG
RNAcentral lists this ribosomal RNA (492 nucleotides) under uncultured bacterium. RNAcentral's name for it is "partial 16S ribosomal RNA". It matches the Rfam family "Bacterial small subunit ribosomal RNA", at positions 29 to 507 of the family's 1533-position model. The record is from RNAcentral.